UACGGGGGGGGCAAGCGUUGUUCGGAAUUACUGGGCGUAAAGGGCUCGUAGGCGGCCAACUAAGUCAGACGUGAAAUCCCUCGGCUUAACCGGGGAACUGCGUCUGAUACAGGAUGGCUUGAGUGUGGGAGAGGGAUGCGGAAUUCCAGGUGUAGCGGUGAAAUGCGUAGAUAUCAGGAGGAACACCGGUGGCGAAGGCGGGUCUCUGGGCAGUAACUGACGCUGAGGAGCGAAAGCGUGGGGAGCGAACAGG
Molecule: ribosomal RNA, 253 nt
Filed under: uncultured bacterium
Lineage: Bacteria
Description: partial 16S ribosomal RNA
Rfam family: Bacterial small subunit ribosomal RNA
Source: RNAcentral